Molecule: ribosomal RNA, 400 nt
Filed under: Pseudarthrobacter siccitolerans
Lineage: Bacteria; Bacillati; Actinomycetota; Actinomycetes; Micrococcales; Micrococcaceae
Description: bacterial SSU rRNA
Rfam family: Bacterial small subunit ribosomal RNA
Source: RNAcentral
GGCUCAGGAUGAACGCUGGCGGCGUGCUUAACACAUGCAAGUCGAACGAUGAUCUCCAGCUUGCUGGGGGGAUUAGUGGCGAACGGGUGAGUAACACGUGAGUAACCUGCCCUUAACUCUGGGAUAAUCCUGGGAAACUGGGUCUAAUACCGGAUAUGACUGAUCAUCGCAUGGUGGUUGGUGGAAAGCUUUUUGUGGUUUUGGAUGGACUCGCGGCCUAUCAGCUUGUUGGUGAGGUAAUGGCUUACCAAGGCGACGACGGGUAGCCGGCCUGAGAGGGUGACCGGCCACACUGGGACUGAGACACGGCCCAGACUCCUACGGGAGGCAGCAGUGGGGAUUAUUGCACAAUGGGCGAAAGCCUGAUGCAGCGACGCCGCGUGAGGGAUGACGGCCUUCG